Molecule: ribosomal RNA, 433 nt
Filed under: uncultured bacterium
Lineage: Bacteria
Description: partial 16S ribosomal RNA
Rfam family: Bacterial small subunit ribosomal RNA
Source: RNAcentral
AACGAACGCUGGCGGCAUGCCUAACACAUGCAAGUCGAGCGAGACCUUCGGGUCUAGUGGCGCACGGGUGCGUAACGCGUGGGAACCUGCCCUUAGGUUCGGAAUAACUCCCCGAAAGGGGUGCUAAUACCGGAAAAUGUCUUCGGACCAAAGAUUUAUCGCCUUUGGGUGGGCCCGCGUUGGGUUAGAUAGUUGGUAGGGUAAAAGCCUACCAAGGCGACGGUACAUAGCUGGUCUGAGAGGAUGAUCAGCCACACUGGGACUGAGACACGGCCCAGAAUCUUCCGGGAGGAAGCAGUGGGGAAUAUUGGACAACGGGCGAAAGCCUGAUCCAGCCAUGCCGCGUGAGUCAUGAAGGCCUUAGGGUUGUAAAGCUCUUUUACCCGGGAUGAUAAUGACAGUACCGGGAGAAUAAGCCACGGCUAACUCCGUG